GCUGGAGCACAGAGAGUGUCUGAGAACUGCCUUGCCUACGGCAAGGAGGUGAUCUGCGUAAGGGUCAGAUGGACUUCCUCUCGGGACAGUGACAGCCUCACUCGGAAGCUGAGUAGCCACUUGGCAAAAACGUAGAAGAGAUUCAGAGCUCUCCUUUUGCUGUUUGCCUGCGUGAAAGGAAAGUACGAUGAAAAAGGGCAAGGCUCUCAGCUUCCAAACAAGAGAGGAAAAACUUCCACCGUAUAAUAAGUUGUUGGGAUGUAGGUGAUAUAAGGCUGAGAAUUCACUGAUGUAGUCACCCAGGGUUAUGGCGCCACAUCUCUCCAUUUCCCCAACCACUGUGUGCUGAAUACUAAUUUGAACACACUAA
Suricata suricatta (meerkat) is the source of this 370-nucleotide long non-coding RNA. RefSeq lists it as uncharacterized. The transcript has 2 exons. The record is from RefSeq and is a predicted model, not a curated record. NCBI's taxonomy places the organism in Eukaryota, Metazoa, Chordata, Mammalia, Carnivora, Herpestidae.